This 253-nucleotide ribosomal RNA is filed under the name uncultured bacterium. RNAcentral describes it as "partial 16S ribosomal RNA". It matches the Rfam family "Bacterial small subunit ribosomal RNA", at positions 524 to 776 of the family's 1533-position model. The record is from RNAcentral.
UACGUAGGUGGCAAGCGUUGUCCGGAAUUAUUGGGCGUAAAGCGCGCGCAGGCGGUCCUUUAAGUCUGAUGUGAAAGCCCACGGCUCAACCGUGGAGGGUCAUUGGAAACUGGGGGACUUGAGUGCAGGAGAGAAGAGUGGAAUUCCACGUGUAGCGGUGAAAUGCGUAGAGAUGUGGAGGAACACCAGUGGCGAAGGCGGCCUACUGGGCUGCACCUGACGCUGAGCCGCGAAAGCCAGGGGAGCGAACGGG